GACGAACGCUGGCGGCGUGCUUAACACAUGCAAGUCGAACGGAAAGGCCCUGCUUUUGUGGGGUGCUCGAGUGGCGAACGGGUGAGUAACACGUGAGUAACCUGCCCUUUACUUUGGGAUAACUUCAGGAAACUGGGGCUAAUACCGGAUAGGAGCUCCUGCUGCAUGGUGGGGGUUGGAAAGUUUCGGCGGUUGGGGAUGGACUCGCGGCUUAUCAGCUUGUUGGUUGGGUAGUGGCUUACCAAGGCUUUGGCGGGUAGCCGGCCUGAGAGGGUGACCGGCCACAUUGGGACUGAGAUACGGACCAGACUCCUACGGGAGGCAGUAGUGGGGAAUAUUGCACAAUGGGCGGAAGCCUGAUGCAGAAACGCCGCGUGCGGGAUGACGGCCUUCGGGUUGUAAACCGCUUUCGCCUGUGACGAAGCGUGAGUGACGGUAAUGGGUAAAGAAGCACCGGCUAACUACGUG
Molecule: ribosomal RNA, 468 nt
Filed under: uncultured bacterium
Lineage: Bacteria
Description: partial 16S ribosomal RNA
Rfam family: Bacterial small subunit ribosomal RNA
Source: RNAcentral